CUUUGACCUCACUAUUGGACAGCUUGGGACCCCAGAAUAUAAAACACCUUUUGCUACUCUUGACGAAGGCAAAAUGAAUACAAAAGAAAUGGUAACGCACAUUCACUUUAGCGCUCUAAACUGGUAUGUCAUUUUUUUCGUUUUUUAUUUUCCAAAUUUCAUUGUGUUUAGGAUGUUCUAGGUUAUCUAUGAAGUCCCAAAUACAAAUAUUUCCAUUUUUCCCUAUAGAGGACUCGAUUUGCAACAAGUUUGCCGAAGACAGUAUCCUAUUUUAUUGAAUGGGUGAUUUUCUACAGUCGUUUCUAUGUUGAGGUCAUAUAUAAGCCUGUAAGGGGUGAGUAUCACAAAAUAAUCAAUCGUGUUCGCUAUUGUCUCGCAUGAAAAUCAAAACAAUAGAUGCGCGGGUGUUUAGUGUUCAGUAUUGCGAUGUUCCUUGCUGUGCAUGCUGUAUAAUCGAUCGUGUUCGCUAUUGUCUCGUGCGAGAAUGAAACCAAUAGACGAGAGCAUGUUUAGUUUGUAGUAUUGUGAUGUUGCUGUGCCUGAGAGUGUCGGAAAAUAGUGUCGCACGAUCAUGUCGUUUUAAGCGAUCGGUGGACGGCGGCUCGAGUGAAUGACUGAUAAUCGGUGAGCUUGUUCCUUGUUUUUCGCAGUAUAUGUAUCCAUUAGCUCAAAACCAUCCUUCACAUAUUUACUCAACAAAAACUGUAAAGUUUGUCACUUCAACUGUCGGCUCAAUUUAUCAUUAAUUUUGUUUCAUUUUAAUUAUUUUUUUUUGUAUUUUCAUACAGCCCGCCACCUUACGGUGAUGGCCACACGUAUUUGAUCCGUCGGCACAAAGUUUUGUUAUAAUAUAUCGAGUUCAUGGCCAGUAGCAAUGAAUAUUGAUUCACCAGUUCUCCCAAUUACGAGGUGACGCAAAAUCUUUUUAAUUCCAAAUUUCCAUUUAGAAUUUUCAUGGUCUCAACAUUCUUCCCAAUUGUGAGGUGACACAUUUGUAUACUGUAUAAAUGCUCACGGUUGCAUGGAUCGCAUCGCUUACCAAAGUGAAUCCUUGAUCUAUGCAACUGCCAAACCCUCCCUACUAACAAAACUUCUUCCCGUGACAACUGUUGAGGAUCCAGUAGUACAUAAAACCUCUAACAUUUCUUCCCUUCUUCGGUUGACCGUAAGGACGUGGCCGGCGCCGUUAUUGACCCAAUAAAGUUAGAGCUCUCGGAACGUGUACAUUGAGGAUGAUGUGCUAAUCCCAAGCAUCUUCUGUUGGUUCUCUGUGCUAACUCUGGUCAAUCACGAAGUAGCAACUACGCAGUGUACGGUCACCAAUGCUCAUGCUCAUGUUCCCAAAAUCGCUACGCUUAUAGAUCCGGAGUUUUCCAGCAACGUAUGUUAAGAACGAUAUUUGGCGGUCAGCAGAAGAACCGUGUGUAACGGAGAAGAAUGAACUACAUACCAAAUAUACUAUAUUAACAAUAUAGGUCACUCUUACGAUUUUUUGGCGACACCUUUUUAGUGAAUGUGGCGCCACCAAGCGUCAGAAGAGGUACUACUACACACUAAAUGCAUGCGCUAUCCGAAUGACGUUUAUUCCGUCGAACUGUCAUUGCAUGGUAGGGAUGCCCAUUUCUUCUGAAAAAAUCGAUUAAACAUUAAUCGAUUUUUUUUUCAACUACUCAAAUUAAAACAAAUUUUAUUUUCUCUUCUCGAACAAUUUCUGGCGUAGGGUAUUGGUUCCCUUAUUAAGCACGUGGCUCCCAUUUUCAUCCCACAAAAAUCAAAGGAUUGAAGCGCUGUUUGUUUUGUUUCUUAUUUUUUGUAUUUUUUGUUAGAAGUGAGCACCCAUGAAAACAAAAAGAACGGAGUCAAUCGGUGCCGUAAUCGCUUGUUUUCGAACAGGAUGAAAAUGAGAGCAUGAGAUUACUGAUGGCACACAUACCCUAUAUUAUCGUCGCAGCACCAAAUCGAAGCUGCGACAUACGAAGUUGCAGAUGAGAAGUAAAUUUGAACCGAUAAACGUACAUAACAGACUAAAACACAGACGACCCAAAUCGAACUUUCCGUUAGCGAGCGAUGAACGGUAUUUUCUCCGGAAAUUACACAAGAAUUUUCUUGUGGGAUCCCUUUAAGAUUUGCACCCUGGUUUUUUUUUCUCCAAGAUUCCUCCUGAAGCUCUUGGGGGAUUCCUCCUAGAAAUUAUUCUGGAAUUAUUUUAGGAACUCCUUUCGGAAUUGCUCAGGGAAAACGUUCCAGCGUUCCUCCUCCAUCCUCGAACAUUUUUUUAUCUGGGAUUACAUAUCUCCAUGAAUAAAACGAAAUCAGUGAAGUACUAGAUUUGUAGUAUCAUGAUUUGUAUAAUGAGAAAGUAAAUUCUCCGUUGCAAUAAUAUGGUAACUACAAUAAUGGUAACAAAAAAGCAAGGGUUUUAUGACUGCUUGCGUGAUUUGAUGCUGAUUGAGCAAAACUACGUUGUUAUAUUCUCAUUUAAUGCAACUUCAACAACAUAUUUCCCCAAAGUUUUGCUCAAGCAGCAUCAAACUAGGCGCAGGAGGAUUUCUGAUACUUCAAAGAGGGACCUUCUGAAGGAAGAGGAAUCCUGGAAAGAUCCCUCGGAAAAUAUUAAUUAAAUUGUUCAUAUAAAAUCGCGUUGGUGAUUUACAAAGUCACUUUGGAAUUUCUCCGAAAUUUCAAAAGAAAUCCUUGAAAAAUCCCAGAAGACUCGGUGGAAAUCCUUAAAUGACGGAGUGAAUUCCAGAAGGAACUUUUGGAGGAAUACUGGUAGAAAUCCCGGUUGAAAUUCCCAGAAGGAGGAAUUUUUGAAGGAGCUCUUGGAUAAAUCCUUAAAACAACUCCUGGUCGUUCUUGGAAAAUUUUGGAGGAAUUCCAGAAGGAAUUCCGGGAGGUAUUCCAGAAGGAAUUCCGGGAGGUAUUCGUAAAAAAAAACUCCUGAGGGAAUUGUUGAAGGAGCUGAGCUUCUGCAGGAAUCCAAAAAAAACUCCAAGAAACUCCUAUAAGGAAUUCCUAUAAGGAACUUCUUGACGAAUCCUAGAAGAGAAUUCUUGAGGAUUCCUAGAAUUAAUUCUUGAAGGAACAUCAGAAGAAAUUGCUGGAGUAAUUUCAGUAGGAACUCCUGGGGGUUCCUCGUAGGAACCUCUGGAGAAAUUUAAGAAAAAAAAACUUCAAAUCAAUCUCUGAAGGCACUCCUGGAGGAAUUUCAAAAAGAGCUACUGAAUGAAUCUCAGAAAAAAAAACCCAGAAGGAAACCAAGGGGAAUGACCGGGAAUGACAUAUCCUUUUCUAAUGGGAAAAUCCGCAUGUAUCCGUUCCUAACCGUCGCUAACCGCUGCUUACUGAGCCGCAGGUGUAGUUAGACGCGAUUAACGAUGGUUAGCAACGGAUAAACAACAACGGAUUUUUCCGGUUAGCAAAGGAAACGAAAAAACUGAGAAGAAUCGUCCGUUGGAAAAUCAGAAGGAAUUCAGAAGGAACAUCUGAAGGAAUGCCUGACUAAAUUUAUAGAGGAUUAUCACUCCUGCAGCAGGCGAAUUUGCUAGAAUAGUUUUACUAACUGAAGUUCACCCAGAAGCCCAUGACUUAUAUUUAAAAAUAAGCUUUGCAAGGAUUUCGCGACGAUCGUGUAAAUGUUCAAUCUUUGACAGCACAAUGUUCACACAUCCAACAACAAAGGAAACCGAUUAGUCCGGAAUAAAACAACCAGUAUUCGAAUAAACUCACAGUUCACUUCGGAAGAACAACGAAAUUAAUCGAAAUUAAAUUUGACGGGUUAUAUUCUUAGGUCCGGUCCCGGAGCUCAUUUUUUGUAAGCACGGAACGCUCAAACGUUGAAAUUUCGUGCAUCUGCCCAUUAGCUUGUGCACCCUUGGAUUCAAUGUCUUGCACUCUGCCACAAGAAAUUUGACGUGUAUUUGGUUGGUGAUCUUCGUCAGCGUGGACAUUAAGAAAGAUGAUAUUAAAAGCCAUUGUCAAAGGAAAAUAGCAACCACCUGGGCAAAAUAUAAGUUAAUUUUGAGGGUGAAAAUUUUAAAUUUCGAAGUGAAACGAUUUCGAUGACGUUACACUGAAAAUAUUCUACACGUUCGAAUCACACGUUUCACACAUGAAUUUUCACUAGUGGGAAAACAAUUGAAUUUAACGUGUCAAACCAGUCGUAGAUACACUUUUCGAAAUCGUGUGUAAAACACGUUAAUAUGACAUCAUAAAUGUCAAUUUUCUUCAGAAUAUUAGUAAAAGGCAUCCAGCUUUGGGUUCCUGUCCUCCAAAAAUGAAGCAUGCUAAUACAUACCUAACGCGAGCGAGUUCGGUGAUGUGCAUUAAGUUGAAGGCGAAUCAUUUCCAUUAUCGAUACAUAAACACACUGUCAAACACGAUCAAAUCAUGUGUAAAAGACAGUGGUUCAGAACCUAAACUAUUCAACAUCAGUUUCAAAAUUUACACGUUAAUAUAGCUUGCUGUUUUAAACGAUAAAUUAACGCGUAAAAAAACAUGGAUGAGGCGUUUUGAUUAUUUUCAGUGUACAAUGAGGGAGCAUUCAAAUUCUUCUACAGAUGUACUCGUAGAUUUCAUCUAAUGAAAUAUAGCGCAUUGAGUUCACAACUGGACUAUUACACGAAUUUUCAUGAGUGCGAAAACGUAAUUUAAAGUGCGCGAUUGCAACAAAUCAACUCGGUGUGUUCAGAGCACUUAUUCAUCAUAAAUCAAAGAAAUAGUGCGCUGAAGACAUCAACUGGAUUUGAUGCAAUCGCGCACUUUUAUUAACCUUUUCGCACUUAUACAGACCGAGUGCGCAGUCCAGUGAUGAAAUAAAUGGGCAAUAUUAUUUUGUUUAUGUAUAUUGUAAAUCGAUUAUUUAUUCGAUUAUUUUGGAACAAAAAACGUUGACACCCCUUACAUCUUUUUUUCAGAAAUGUCACCUUGCACGGUAAACAAAAAUUGAUCAAAAUACAAUUAUUGACUUUUUCUGACAGCAGGUGGUGCUGUAAUCAUUCGUAAACGGCGUCUCCAUGUCGUUGUAUGUGAAAACACGAAGUGACCUAUAUUGUUAAUAUAGUAUAUUUGUACAUACGCUCGCUGCCCUCUACGGAGAAUCCAGAAUCCAGAAGAGGACCAGAGCCGGAAAGAUACGGUGGGCAGGUUGUCAUGUUGCAACAAUGCCUAACAACAACCCUGCAAACUUGGGAUUCACCACUGAUCCGGUAGGCACAUUUAUUGUGUAUGGAGCAUUGGACGUGACCGAGGAUUGGGAUUGACAGUCGUAAAUCGAUAAUUGUGGCGUACCAUUGUUAAUAAUGUGUUACCUGUUUUGUCAUGUAGUGCAAAUAAAUGUAUGUAAUGUAAUUUGUCAUAUCAUCUCGUUAUUAACUAUUCGCACACCUUCCGCUAAGAAUACAAAACAACAAAAUCCUCAACAGCACUGAUCUAUUUUCGUCCACAGAGUGAAUCUCCACGGAUCGGCAAGAACCGCUUCUAGAACAACUUUAUCAUCCUCACACACCACCGGUACCGACCAACGACGACACAUCAAGUCCAUUAGUCUACUCAGUUUCCACAACAAACGUUCGAAGCGGGGAGCCAUCCAUCACACCGACGACGGACCGGAGAGACAUACUUCCUUUCCCUGUGGUGACCCAGAACUCAAUAGGAAGCCCGACCAAAGGCCAGACUUCAUUUGGUAGUACAGUUUACAUACGUAAGAACGAACACGGUCGUCUCCACCAUACGGAAAAAGAGCACCGUCACAUGGGCGCAUAUGGCUAUUGGUCGACUCACUCGGCGAUAACCCAAACGAGGCAGCAACAGGAGUAGUGUUCUGAAUAGCGAAAAUGCAUUCAAAUCGAUCCAUUGCUGGUUUGCAUUUGCAAUUCACUGUCACCACCACAUAUUUUAAGGUAACAUGUACAAUUGUAAAAUUGUAUGCUUAUUGUGAAAUUAUGGAAAAAAUGUAUCACUUUACUUACAAGUAACUACGUGAGCAGCACACAUCAAUACAGAAGUACAAAAUAUGAACAGCGAUAAUGCACUUGUUCCAGUUGGGA
Molecule: long non-coding RNA, 6047 nt
Organism: Aedes albopictus (Asian tiger mosquito)
Lineage: Eukaryota; Metazoa; Arthropoda; Insecta; Diptera; Culicidae
Exons: 2
Source: RefSeq, a predicted model, not a curated record